CUAACCCCGCAAACCCACUGAUCACAAAUAAUGUGGUAAUAGAAUAUGGAAUUUAUUAUUAAGACAUUUAUGAAUAUGGUGAGUUAACAAACAGUAGACACAAUACACACAUUCAAAUACUGUACUUUUUUUUUUUUUGCUAAGUGAAUGGGUGAAUGACUGAAUGUAGUGUAAAGCGCUUUGGGGUCCUUAGGGACUAAGUAAAGCGCUAUACAAAUGCAGGCCAUUUAGUUUUAAAUUUUAAUAAAGUAUUACUAUUUUCUGCUUCAAGGCAUUACUUUUGAGAUUAUUAUAUGUAUUAGAAAAUAUAGCAUAAUGAUAAUACUAGUUAUUGUAAACUUUACAAACCACCCAGCAGUAUGUAAAGUCAAAUUAUAAAAUACAAGUAAAUAACAAUUACACAACAGAAUGUCAAUGUGUUCAUUACCGACACACUUAGCUUUGACAAAGCACACUGCUUAGGUAAAGGAUCUCAGUACUUGUUUAUCACUGAGCAAUUUGUUAAUAUGUGUUUUGAGCCAAAUAAAUGACAGGGAGAGAGAGAGAGAGAGAGAGAGUGUGACGUUAGGACACGUCGUACUAUGGCAACCUCCCGAAGGUGGGGGGGUGUCAAUCAUUGGAAUGUGCAUGCGCAGACAGAUUGCGCGACCGGCGGGCCUUGAACUUUCUAAGGGAAAAACACUUUCUCACGGACGGUGACAGCGAAGCGGAUAACAGUCUUGAGUACCUGCUGGUCUUUGAAGCUCUGGAUUCUGGGACUGUUGGAAAAGCUCCAACAAAAUGAGGAAGAGGAGCGGGAGAAACACACUUAGAUUGAAUUACAAUUGGAUGGAAGUCAAGGACAAGGAGAAGGAAGCUUAGGAUGAGGAGGAAGAAAAGCAGCAGGAGCAUCUUUAGGGAUCUCUAUGAUGUCAUUGAGUGGCGGCGGCGAGAGGGGAGACCUCGGCUCAUCCAGCUGGAGAGCCUGACCAGGAGGAGUCGAACAUUAACUCGGCUCUUCCAGGGCACCCUGCAGACUCGGCUGCUGGCAACAGCGAGGGAUGAUGUGAACGCCAAACUGGAGUCCAUCACAGGUCGACUGCAGCUCCUUGUCUCAGAGAUGGAGGGAUUUGAAGCACAAAGGGAGCAGCUUGUCGUUUGGUUGGCUGAUAUGGAUGCCCGCCUGAGUGAGGUUGACCAGCUGACAGGAAACACCUGUGAAAAACUGAAACAACUGCAGCUUAUCACACAUUUGAUUUCCAUGUGUGACAACUGCAAGUGUCCAGAGUGAGGACAGA
Long non-coding RNA from Oreochromis niloticus (Nile tilapia), 1277 nucleotides. RefSeq lists it as uncharacterized. The record is from RefSeq and is a predicted model, not a curated record. Lineage: Eukaryota; Metazoa; Chordata; Actinopteri; Cichliformes; Cichlidae. The transcript has 5 exons.